CUGUUAAAUGGGUACAAUAAAUACAUAUCUCUGAAGGUUGCUGUGAUGAUUACAUGAAAUAAAUACAUGGCACAGUACCUGGUAUGUAAUAAGUACCCAAUUAAAUAUAACUUUUUUUAGGAAGUGACAGUAAUAGGAAGAACUCAGUAUGUUUGUUGAAUGAUUCUUACAUGAUACCUCUUAACACAGGUGAUUACAUGGAUCCAACACCUGAUCCCCAAGAUUGAAGAUGGAAAUGAUUUUGGGGUAGCAAUCCAGGAGAAGGUGCUGGAGAGGGUGAAUGCCGUCAAGACCAAAGUGGAAGCUUUCCAGACAACCAUUUCCAAGUGAGGGCAGCUGGAGGACCAGCAUUGGGGGCAGUAGGAGCAUUUCUUUGGGACCCCCAGAGCUGGGCAGCCCUAUCAGGAUGAUGGGAGACUUUGGGAAGGGUCUGAGGGAGUACAUCUCCCUGAACACUCAUUCCUGUGGUAUUCCCUUGCUUCUG
Molecule: long non-coding RNA, 484 nt
Filed under: Homo sapiens (human)
Lineage: Eukaryota; Metazoa; Chordata; Mammalia; Primates; Hominidae
Description: non-protein coding lnc-EMC9-2:1
Source: RNAcentral